AUGCAAUUCUGGUCCCUGGAGGGGGCUGAGGAGGUGCUGGUGAGGUUGUGCCGCGUCGACCGCCUCGACAGCAGGACGCAUGAGCGCGACCACACCAAGCUGUUCGCCUGCUGGGUCUGGGUGUGGGACGUGGCGCACAUCCCGACAACCCACACCCUGUGGGUGCUGAAGCGCGGCGCCGGUCGCGUCGAUGAGCUGCUGGGCUACCCCCCCCCAGAGCGCAGGGUGGCGCCCCCGCCUGGUGCGCAUCGCUACGACCUCCUCAUCCACGUCGAUAGGGUGGAAGACUGG
Molecule: ribosomal RNA, 291 nt
Filed under: Triticum aestivum (bread wheat)
Lineage: Eukaryota; Viridiplantae; Streptophyta; Magnoliopsida; Poales; Poaceae
Description: partial small subunit ribosomal RNA
Source: RNAcentral